Molecule: ribosomal RNA, 2789 nt
Filed under: Escherichia coli
Lineage: Bacteria; Pseudomonadati; Pseudomonadota; Gammaproteobacteria; Enterobacterales; Enterobacteriaceae
Also listed under: 1 other name
Description: bacterial LSU rRNA
Rfam family: Bacterial large subunit ribosomal RNA
Source: RNAcentral
AGCGUACACGGUGGAUGCCCUGGCAGUCAGAGGCGAUGAAGGACGUGCUAAUCUGCGAUAAGCGUCGGUAAGGUGAUAUGAACCGUUAUAACCGGCGAUUUCCGAAUGGGGAAACCCAGUGUGAUUCGUCACACUAUCAUUAACUGAAUCCAUAGGUUAAUGAGGCGAACCGGGGGAACUGAAACAUCUAAGUACCCCGAGGAAAAGAAAUCAACCGAGAUUCCCCCAGUAGCGGCGAGCGAACGGGGAGCAGCCCAGAGCCUGAAUCAGUGUGUGUGUUAGUGGAAGCGUCUGGAAAGGCGCGCGAUACAGGGUGACAGCCCCGUACACAAAAAUGCACAUGCUGUGAGCUCGAUGAGUAGGGCGGGACACGUGGUAUCCUGUCUGAAUAUGGGGGGACCAUCCUCCAAGGCUAAAUACUCCUGACUGACCGAUAGUGAACCAGUACCGUGAGGGAAAGGCGAAAAGAACCCCGGCGAGGGGAGUGAAAAAGAACCUGAAACCGUGUACGUACAAGCAGUGGGAGCACAGAGCAAUCUGUGUGACUGCGUACCUUUUGUAUAAUGGGUCAGCGACUUAUAUUCUGUAGCAAGGUUAACCGAAUAGGGGAGCCGAAGGGAAACCGAGUCUUAACUGGGCGUUAAGUUGCAGGGUAUAGACCCGAAACCCGGUGAUCUAGCCAUGGGCAGGUUGAAGGUUGGGUAACACUAACUGGAGGACCGAACCGACUAAUGUUGAAAAAUUAGCGGAUGACUUGUGGCUGGGGGUGAAAGGCCAAUCAAACCGGGAGAUAGCUGGUUCUCCCCGAAAGCUAUUUAGGUAGCGCCUCGUGAAUUCAUCUCCGGGGGUAGAGCACUGUUUCGGCAAGGGGGUCAUCCCGACUUACCAACCCGAUGCAAACUGCGAAUACCGGAGAAUGUUAUCACGGGAGACACACGGCGGGUGCUAACGUCCGUCGUGAAGAGGGAAACAACCCAGACCGCCAGCUAAGGUCCCAAAGUCAUGGUUAAGUGGGAAACGAUGUGGGAAGGCCCAGACAGCCAGGAUGUUGGCUUAGAAGCAGCCAUCAUUUAAAGAAAGCGUAAUAGCUCACUGGUCGAGUCGGCCUGCGCGGAAGAUGUAACGGGGCUAAACCAUGCACCGAAGCUGCGGCAGCGACGCUUAUGCGUUGUUGGGUAGGGGAGCGUUCUGUAAGCCUGCGAAGGUGUGCUGUGAGGCAUGCUGGAGGUAUCAGAAGUGCGAAUGCUGACAUAAGUAACGAUAAAGCGGGUGAAAAGCCCGCUCGCCGGAAGACCAAGGGUUCCUGUCCAACGUUAAUCGGGGCAGGGUGAGUCGACCCCUAAGGCGAGGCCGAAAGGCGUAGUCGAUGGGAAACAGGUUAAUAUUCCUGUACUUGGUGUUACUGCGAAGGGGGGACGGAGAAGGCUAUGUUGGCCGGGCGACGGUUGUCCCGGUUUAAGCGUGUAGGCUGGUUUUCCAGGCAAAUCCGGAAAAUCAAGGCUGAGGCGUGAUGACGAGGCACUACGGUGCUGAAGCAACAAAUGCCCUGCUUCCAGGAAAAGCCUCUAAGCAUCAGGUAACAUCAAAUCGUACCCCAAACCGACACAGGUGGUCAGGUAGAGAAUACCAAGGCGCUUGAGAGAACUCGGGUGAAGGAACUAGGCAAAAUGGUGCCGUAACUUCGGGAGAAGGCACGCUGAUAUGUAGGUGAAGUCCCUCGCGGAUGGAGCUGAAAUCAGUCGAAGAUACCAGCUGGCUGCAACUGUUUAUUAAAAACACAGCACUGUGCAAACACGAAAGUGGACGUAUACGGUGUGACGCCUGCCCGGUGCCGGAAGGUUAAUUGAUGGGGUUAGCGCAAGCGAAGCUCUUGAUCGAAGCCCCGGUAAACGGCGGCCGUAACUAUAACGGUCCUAAGGUAGCGAAAUUCCUUGUCGGGUAAGUUCCGACCUGCACGAAUGGCGUAAUGAUGGCCAGGCUGUCUCCACCCGAGACUCAGUGAAAUUGAACUCGCUGUGAAGAUGCAGUGUACCCGCGGCAAGACGGAAAGACCCCGUGAACCUUUACUAUAGCUUGACACUGAACAUUGAGCCUUGAUGUGUAGGAUAGGUGGGAGGCUUUGAAGUGUGGACGCCAGUCUGCAUGGAGCCGACCUUGAAAUACCACCCUUUAAUGUUUGAUGUUCUAACGUUGACCCGUAAUCCGGGUUGCGGACAGUGUCUGGUGGGUAGUUUGACUGGGGCGGUCUCCUCCUAAAGAGUAACGGAGGAGCACGAAGGUUGGCUAAUCCUGGUCGGACAUCAGGAGGUUAGUGCAAUGGCAUAAGCCAGCUUGACUGCGAGCGUGACGGCGCGAGCAGGUGCGAAAGCAGGUCAUAGUGAUCCGGUGGUUCUGAAUGGAAGGGCCAUCGCUCAACGGAUAAAAGGUACUCCGGGGAUAACAGGCUGAUACCGCCCAAGAGUUCAUAUCGACGGCGGUGUUUGGCACCUCGAUGUCGGCUCAUCACAUCCUGGGGCUGAAGUAGGUCCCAAGGGUAUGGCUGUUCGCCAUUUAAAGUGGUACGCGAGCUGGGUUUAGAACGUCGUGAGACAGUUCGGUCCCUAUCUGCCGUGGGCGCUGGAGAACUGAGGGGGGCUGCUCCUAGUACGAGAGGACCGGAGUGGACGCAUCACUGGUGUUCGGGUUGUCAUGCCAAUGGCACUGCCCGGUAGCUAAAUGCGGAAGAGAUAAGUGCUGAAAGCAUCUAAGCACGAAACUUGCCCCGAGAUGAGUUCUCCCUGACUCCUUGA